Molecule: ribosomal RNA, 460 nt
Filed under: uncultured bacterium
Lineage: Bacteria
Description: partial 16S ribosomal RNA
Rfam family: Bacterial small subunit ribosomal RNA
Source: RNAcentral
CCUACGGGUGGCAGCAGUGAGGAAUAUUGGUCAAUGGCCGGAAGGCUGAACCAGCCAUGCCGCGUGAAGGUCAGUGCCCUAUGGGCGUUAAACUUCUUUUGUGCGGGAGCAAUAAUGGUCACGUGUGGCCAGACGAGAGUACCGUACGAAUAAGCAUCGGCUAACUCCGUGCCAGCAGCCGCGGUAAUACGGGGGAUGCAAGCGUUAUCCGGAUUUAUUGGGUUUAAAGGGUGUGUAGGCUGUGAGGUAAGUCAGCGGUGAAAUGCCCCCGCUCAACGGGGUGAAGUGCCAUUGAUACUGCCUGGCUGGAAUGCGGAUGCGGUGGGAGGAAUGUGUGGUGUAGCGGUGAAAUGCAUAGAUAUCACACAGAACACCGAUUGCGAAGGCAUCUCACGAAUCCGCGAUUGACGCUGAUGCACGAAAGCGUGGGUAUCAAACAGGAUUAGAUACCCGUGUAGUC